GACGAACGCUGGCGGCGUGCUUAACACAUGCAAGUCGAACGGAAAGGCCCUACUUUUGUGGGGUGCUCGAGUGGCGAACGGGUGAGUAACACGUGAGUAACCUGCCCUUGACUUUGGGAUAACUUCAGGAAACUGGGGCUAAUACCGGAUAGGAGCUCCUGCCGCAUGGUGGGGGUUGGAAAGUUUCGGCGGUUGGGGAUGGACUCGCGGCUUAUCAGCUUGUUGGUGGGGUAGUGGCUUACCAAGGCUUUGACGGGUAGCCGGCCUGAGAGGGUGACCGGCCACAUUGGGACUGAGAUACGGCCCAGACUCCUACGGGAGGCAGCAGUGGGGAAUAUUGCACAAUGGGCGGAAGCCUGAUGCAGCAACGCCGCGUGCGGGAUGACGGCCUUCGGGUUGUAAACCGCUUUCGCCUGUGACGAAGCGUGAGUGACGGUAAUGGGUAAAGAAGCACCGGCUAACUACGUG
This 468-nucleotide ribosomal RNA is filed under the name uncultured bacterium. RNAcentral's name for it is "partial 16S ribosomal RNA". It matches the Rfam family "Bacterial small subunit ribosomal RNA", at positions 28 to 507 of the family's 1533-position model. The record is from RNAcentral.